AUGGAAAAAUUUGACUUCAUUUGCUGGCAUAAGCAGUCUGUUGGACAUUACAACCAGCAGAAGUCUGUCCUCCUGACACAGUGGCCAGAGACUGAGUCCGUCCAGCUGGGAGAAGCAGUGACUCUCCAGUGUUCGGUUCUCUUCGAGAACAAAGACAGCAGCAGCCGGUGUUCAGGUGAACACAGUGUGUACUGGUUCAGAGCCGGAUCAGGAGAAUCCCAUCCAGGCGUCAUUCACAGUCGUGGGAACAGAAGUCAUGAAUGUCAGGAGAGUCCUUCUCGUCAACGGAGCUGUGUUUACACACUCUCCAAAAGUGUAACCAACUCCUCUGAUGCUGGGACUUACUACUGUGCUGUGGCCACAUGUGGGGAGAUCCUGUUUGGAAGUGGAACGAAAGUGGACACAAAUGCUGAAUUGCCUCCAGUUGUCAUUAUGCUCGGGGUCAUUUUUGCUUGCUGUGUGAUUGUGAUCACCGUAAUUAUGUUCUCCACAAGUCAAGUUUGUGAUCAGCCCAAAGAAUGA
Non-coding RNA from Myripristis murdjan (pinecone soldierfish), 522 nucleotides. The record is from the annotation of a RefSeq genome assembly. Lineage: Eukaryota; Metazoa; Chordata; Actinopteri; Holocentriformes; Holocentridae.